UUAAGUUCAGCGGGUAUCCCUACCUAAUCCGAGGUCAAUCAUUAUAAAGUGGGGGGUUAUGGCAAGCACUCCCAGGGCUCCAUAGCGAUGUGUUUACUACGCUCAGAGCCUGAGAGCACCGCCACUGAUUUUAAGGGCUGCCUUUACAGCAGGCCCCAACACAAGCCAGGCUUGAAGGGUGAUAAUGACGCUCGAAUAGG
RNAcentral lists this unclassified non-coding RNA (200 nucleotides) under Leohumicola sp. RNAcentral describes it as "partial internal transcribed spacer 2". The record is from RNAcentral. Lineage: Eukaryota; Fungi; Ascomycota; Leotiomycetes.